Molecule: ribosomal RNA, 497 nt
Filed under: uncultured bacterium
Lineage: Bacteria
Description: partial 16S ribosomal RNA
Rfam family: Bacterial small subunit ribosomal RNA
Source: RNAcentral
GAUGAACGCUGGCGGCGUGCCUAAUACAUGCAAGUCGAGCGAACAGACGAGGAGCUUGCUCCUCUGACGUUAGCGGCGGACGGGUGAGUAACACGUGGAUAACCUACCUAUAAGACUGGGAUAACUUCGGGAAACCGGAGCUAAUACCGGAUAAUAUAUUGAACCGCAUGGUUCAAUAGUGAAAGACGGUUUUGCUGUCACUUAUAGAUGGAUCCGCGCCGCAUUAGCUAGUUGGUAAGGUAACGGCUUACCAAGGCAACGAUGCGUAGCCGACCUGAGAGGGUGAUCGGCCACACGGGAACUGAGACACGGUCCAGACCCCUACGGGAGGCAGCAGUAGGGAAUCUUCCGCAAUGGGCGAAAGCCUGACGGAGCAACGCCGCGUGAGUGAUGAAGGUCUUCGGAUCGUAAAACUCUGUUAUUAGGGAAGAACAAAUGUGUAAGUAACUAUGCACGUCUUGACGGUACCUAAUCAGAAAGCCACGGCUAACUACGUG